AACAUAACGUCAAUGCGGCAGUAUGGGGCAUAUUUGUAUGGGGUCAUGCAGUAUCACGAGACCUGAUAAAUUGGCUUUAUCUUCCACCUGCCCUGGAGCCUGAUAAAUGGUAUGAUCUUAUCGGUGUCUGGACGGGAUCAGCGACCAUCCUCCCAAAUGGUUCAAUUGUUAUGCUCUAUACUGGAGGAACCAAAGACUCGGUUCAGACAAUAGCUCUUGCGUACCCUGCCGACCUAUCUGACCCACUACUAAUAAAUUGGGUCAAGCAUUCUGGAAACCCACUCCUUUUCCCACCAGCUGGAAUUGGUCCGAUGCAGUUUCGUGAUCCCAGUACCGCAUGGUUAACACCAAAUGGCACCUGGAGAAUGGCAAUUGGAACAAAAUAUAACACAACUGGGAUUUCAUUUGUUUUUGAAACAAAAGACUUCACUAAGUUCACACUUUUGGAUGAAUUGCUACACCAAGUUCAAGGUACUGGAAUAUGGGAAUGUAUCGACCUGUAUCCUGUGUCAUUGACAGAUAUGAAUGGCCUUGACACAUCUGUUAAUGGUCCUCAAGUUAAGCAUAUUCUGAAGGUUAGUCUUGAGGAACAACAAGGUGAUUUUUAUGGUAUUGGAAACUAUGAUGUCAUAAAGGACAUUUGGACUCCAGAUGAUCCUGAAGUUGAUGUCGGAUUUGGGCUAAGAUAUGACUAUGGAAGAUUUUACGCGUCAAAGUCCUUUUACGAUCAUAACAAGCUGAGGAGAGUACUUUGGGGUUUUAGCCGAGAGUGUGAUACUGAAGAUGCCGACGUCAAGAAGGGAUGGGCAUCUCUUCAGGUAGCAUUUCUAGCAUUAUUAGAUGAUUCAUCAUUCAUUCCUGCAUUUUAGUAAGCAUUAAUGCUCUAAAAGUUUUUAUACGGGUGGUAUUUUGCAGGUUGUUCCGAGGGAGAUCAUAUUCGACAAUAAGACUAAGACCAAUUUGCUUCUAUGGCCUGUGGAAGAGUUAGAGAGCUUGAGAACGAACGGGAAAGAAUUCAACAAGGUGAAGCUUACAGCUGGAUCAAUUGUGCCUCUCGAUGUUGGCACGACCGCGCAGGUUAGUGACUUUUAUUAGAGUUAAAAUUAUGUUUAAAUUUCAGAAAAUUUUCUUAGGCUCACAGUACAUUUGUAAUUGUGGCAGUUGGAUAUAACUGCCGACUUUGAGAUUGAUAACAAUGCAUUGGAAGGAGUAAUGGAUGCUGAUGUUGGUUACAACUGUACAACUAGCAAUGGGGCUUAUGAAAGAAGCGCAUUGGGACCAUUCGGUUUAUUAGUUCUUGCAAAUGAUGGUCUUUCGGAGCAGACAGCUGUUUACUUUUACAUCGCAAAGGGCACAGAUGGCUAUCUGAAGACAUUCUUCUGCAGUGAUCAAUCCAGGCAUGGUUCAUUCCUAUUUAUCAUAACCCCCUUUAUCUGUCAAAUAUUUUCCCUUUAUCUGUCAAAUAUUUUCCUACACUUAUCCCUACAGUGCAGAAAGUAUUAGUACAGUUUCCACGUCCAUAGUACAUUUCGUUGAACACGAACUUGGCUGAAAAUUCCACAAGUAUCUUCAAAUUUAAGGCCUGGUAUAUGCAAUUUUGACUAAAACUGUAUUUGUUGCAGAUCUUCGCAGGCCACUGAUGUCCGUGAAAAGUUGAUUUAUGGAACUACAGUCCCAGUGCUUAAAAAUGAAAAGUUCUCUAUGAGAAUAUUGGUAAGUUCACAAUUUGAUUUGAAAGGAGCGAGUAAAGAUGUUCAACAGAACAUCUUAUAUUCUACCAAAAAAACAGAACAUCUUAUUUCUCAUUGCUUUAGGCAUCUGGAUACAUGGAUAACUGCUUACAUUGUCAAUAAAAUGCUGCUUACUUUCGCAAAAAAAAAGAAAAAAGAUACAUAGAUAACUCUAUAUAUUACAUACACAACAAUAAGAAAAAAGCCCCUAUAGAAGAACAUUUAUACUGAUAUCCAUAAUUCACCAUGUUUUGCUUAUUUAAGAGAGCGAUAUUCACUCUGUUUGGAAUAUAUUUUGUCUAGGUUGAUCACUCAAUAGUUGAAGCCUUUGCUCAAGGUGGACGGAGUGCUAUUACAUCUCGAGUAUAUCCAACAGAAGCUGUUGCAGGAGCAGCUCGAGUGUUCCUUUUCAACAAUGCUACUGGAGCAGCUGUUACCGCCACUUCAGUCAAAGUAUGGGAAAUGGAAUCUGCAACGAUGAAAACCUACUCUGCUUAGCAAAAGGCGCAACCACGUUUUGACAUGAUUCCGUCAAAUUCAUGUAUUCAGCUUAUCAAGCACUUGGCAUCACUUGUCAGUAAUCUCCCUUAUUCCUGUAAUAUUGUUUGCAGAAAUAAUCAACUGUUGUAGAUUUCGUUUAAACGCAAAGACUUCAAACAAGAUGAGUAAGCUAUUACAAUCAAAUAGUGGAAUCAAUUUUUUUCUACAAAGCUCUGUCAUCUUCAGUUUUCCCUUUUGCUGGCAAUCAUCUGUUUUUUACUUCAAAAGCCAGUAACAAUAAGGAGCAAAGUGCAAGCUGGGAUGACUGCAGCCAAGAUUAGAGUAUCUAUAGAACUACACUAGCUAUCUGGUCCACAUAAACAAAUAAAAACUACCCAAGCUCAGGAUGUAGGAUCCAUUGACCAUUGAGCUGAGGCAGAGCAGAUCGAAUCUAUUAAAACUAAAGCGCGCUUAGCCAAUAUAGGUCAUCAACCUGAUUGGCCUCGCGCAAACUAUGGAAAUCAAUAAAAUUCUUAUUUAUCAAAAGAAAAAAAAAAACAAAAAAAAAACAACUAUGUACAUGUGCCAAGUUGCCAACCCAUCUUUUUCACAUGGCAUCACAGGUGACGUUGUGAAAUGAAAUCACACAGCAAAAAACAAAAUCCAGACUAUUGUUUCCUUUGCACAGGGAAUAUAAAAUGAUUUUUGAGCAUAAAAUUUCCCAUCUCCAAAUCUGCCUGAAAUUUUAAAUACAAAAACAAUGUCGCUUAUUUGAAAACAAUGUUUGCGGUCUUUUUCCUGAUAAUAACAUUUGCGGUCUUUUUUUUCUGAUAAUAACAUUUGCGGUCUUUUGUUUUUGAUAAUAAUGACAUUUGCGGUUUAAAGAAACUGAAUGUCUUCAACUACUUUCCCUAUCAAUACACACCAAUCAAAUCACCAUGUAUCAUAUGUUUUGUUCAUUGUUCAAACUUCAAACUAAGGGCUAUUUCUAUUCCCUCUCAAAGAUGGGAAUCACUAUAUUAGUUUAGCUUGGUAGUAUAAAACUAUGAUUAGUGAAAAACUAUUGAAACUGCAAGAUACAGUACAGUGUUUUUAUAUGAUAUCAACUAUCAAGAUUCAUCAGAUGUUACCAAUAUGGAGCAGCUCAUGGUUAUUUUCAUUUACAAGGCUAAAGGCUAAAGUUAACUUUCUUCAAUUUGAUAAAAAAUAUGUAGUAUAGUUUUAAAAGGAUGAGUCAGCAAUAGUCAACAAUUGUCUAAACAGAUUCAGUUUCUGUUAGUAGUAGUAGUAGUUACAGCUUCCACAUGCUUCCUGAAAUUAAAAUAAAAUAUUGUUUUUGAGUGUAAAUUUCCCGACCUCCAAAUUUGCUUGAAAUUAAAAUGUUGUCAUUUAUUUGAUAUCAAACUUUCAAAAUUUUGAAUGUCCAGCAUGUUAUUACAGAGAAAUUUUGAGUAGGAGCUGUUUGAUGGACUGCUCGUCACACCAUACACAUCUGAUAAAAUAACUAGCGCGAUAGAUAUGAUCUUAACCCUUUUCCUCGAAGUCAUCUACCACAAGAUAUAGAUGAUAUAGACGAAAUCCACCACAUUUAAAAUUAAAUUCCAACAAACUGAUAUUUGAGAACAUAAUCUUUGUGGACUAAAGCAAUGAGAACAUUUGCCGAAUUUGAGGAUCGAAAUGGGUUGAUUGAACAUAAUCUUGAAGGUGCACUUUUCACAUGGUCGGAUAAUCAAUAUGAACCGGUUAUGUCAAAAUUGGAUAGAUUCCUCAUUUCGGUGGAUUGGGAGUUGGUGUUUGGGGAUGCAAAGCAAUUAGCUCUGCCCAAGUUCACGUCCGACCAUAGAGCGAUUCUCUUUGACACAAGCAAAAUUAAGAGGAAACCGAGACCGUUCUGCUUUGAGAUGAUGUGGUUAGAGGAUAAAACUUUUGGUGGUUUGGUCAAAUCUUGGUGGGAGGAUUUUCAUUUUGACGGCUCUCCUAGCUUUGUGUGGUGGAAAAAAAUUAAAGCUCUUAAAGGGAAGAUAAAAGUGUGGAACCGCGAGGUGUUUGGGAGGGUUGAUAGGAAGAUUGAUGAAAGAUUGGCUAGAAUAAAUGAGCUUGAUGGGUUGGAAGAGUUGGAUGUACUCUCCGAUGAUAACAUGUUGGAAAGAACCUUGCUUAGAGAUGACUUAGCUCAUUGGCUCUGGUUGAAUGCAAUUAGUUGGAGGCAAAAGUCAUGCUCUAAGUACUACCUAGAAGGGCAAUCUAACUCCAAAUACUUUUACAUCAUGGCUAAUGUGCGUAGAAGUGCAAACAGUCUUGACUGUCUCUCCAUUGAUGGUUAUUUGUCUCGAGAUGAUGAUCGAAUUAGAGAGCAUAUUGUGAAUUUUUACACCGAUCUUUACACGGAGGACUUCAAAAAUAGACCUAAGCUUGAUGGUUUGUUUUUUGACUCCUUGGAAUCACAAUAUAGGGAGGAUUUGGAAAGAGACUUUGAAGUUGAGGAAGUGGUCCAAACUUUGCAUGAUAUGGAGGGGGAAAAAUCGCCGGGCCCGGACGGUUUUCCCAUGGUGUAUUACAAAGUGUUUUGGAGUGUCUUUAAGGAGGAUAUCAUGUCCAUUGUCCGUGAGUUCCAUAAUUCUGGCUUCCUUGAUUGGCGUGUAAAUACUACUUUUAUCACGUUGAUCCCGAAGAAGGAGGGUGUGCUAUCUAUUGGAGACUACCGACCCAUUAGUCUCAUUGGGGGUGUGUACAAAAUUAUCUCUAAAGUGCUCGCAUCAAGGAUUAAACAAGUGCUACAGUUUCUUGUGUCUGAUACUCAGGGAGCUUUCCUUGGGGAUAGACAAAUUCUGGAUAGUAUACUCAUUGCUAAUGAGAGUAUUGAUGCAAGAUUACGACAAGGGGAUCCUGGGAUUUUGUGUAAGAUUGAUAUCACUAAAGCUUAUGAUCAUGUGAAUUGGAAUUUUCUUGAUUAUGUGCUAAGCAGGAUGGGGUUUGGCUUGAGAUGGAGGAAAUGGAUUCGUACCUGUGUGUCGACAACACGUUUCUCAGUGAUCAUUGAAGGUUCGCCAGAGGGGAAUUUUAAGGCCCAGCGAGGUAUCCGUCAGGGAGACCCACUGUCCCCGUUUUUGUUUAUCCUGGUUAUGGAAGCUUUGUCCCGUUUCACGCUGAAAUGUAUGCAUGAUGGUUUACUGAGGGGUUUUGAGAUUGGGAAUGGAGGUGUUAUGGUUGGAGUACUACAGUUCGCAGAUGACACCCUUUUUUUCACUGAACCUUCGACUCAGGCUUUGUCUGUGAUUCGACUAGUGAUUACUUGCUUUGAAGCUGUGUCUGGACUGAAAGUUAACCUCUCCAAGUCAUCCAUUUCUGCGAUUGGGGAUGUUCACAACAUUGAGAGCCUAGCUCGGUUUUUUGAGUGUGGUAUGGCCCAGUUGCCAGGGAAGUAUCUUGGGUUGCCUUUAGGGGCGCAGUACAAGAAUGUGGAUGUGUGGAGCUCAGUCGUUGAGUCGUAUCAAAAGAAGCUGAGUGGUGGAAGCGAAAACUUAUGUCUAAGGGUGAUCGACUACUUCUUGCCAAAAGUACUUUGGCGGCCUUGCUAUUUAUCAACUAUCCCUCUUCACUAUCCNNNNNNNNNNNNNNNNNNNNNNNNNNNNNNNNNNNNNNNNNNNNNNNNNNNNNNNNNNNNNNNNNNNNNNNNNNNNNNNNNNNNNNNNNNNNNNNNNNNNNNNNNNNNNNNNNNNNNNNNNNNNNNNNNNNNNNNNNNNNNNNNNNNNNNNNNNNNNNNNNNNNNNNNNNNNNNNNNNNNNNNNNNNNNNNNNNNNNNNNNNNNNNNNNNNNNNNNNNNNNNNNNNNNNNNNNNNNNNNNNNNNNNNNNNNNNNNNNNNNNNNNNNNNNNNNNNNNNNNNNNNNNNNNNNNNNNNNNNNNNNNNNNNNNNNNNNNNNNNNNNNNNNNNNNNNNNNNNNNNNNNNNNNNNNNNNNNNNNNNNNNNNNNNNNNNNNNNNNNNNNNNNNNNNNNNNNNNNNNNNNNNNNNNNNNNNNNNNNNNNNNNNNNNNNNNNNNNNNNNNNNNNNNNNNNNNNNNNNNNNNNNNNNNNNNNNNNNNNNNNNNNNNNNNNNNNNNNNNNNNNNNNNNNNNNNNNNNNNNNNNNNNNNNNNNNNNNNNNNNNNNNNNNNNNNNNNNNNNNNNNNNNNNNNNNNNNNNNNNNNNNNNNNNNNNNNNNNNNNNNNNNNNNNNNNNNNNNNNNNNNNNNNNNNNNNNNNNNNNNNNNNNNNNNNNNAGUGGCUCGGGGAUACCAUCCUCUCCAAGGAGGUUCCACAGAUUGUACAAGUAUGCUUUUAGGAAGGAGGGUACGGUGAAAGAUCAUUGUGGUGAGGAGGGGACUUGGGAGCUCCACUUGAGGAGGUCACAUUUUCGUGGAAUUGAAGUUACCCAGUUGAACCAUCUUCAGGAACUUCUUGAGGGUGUUUCUCUUAGUGAUGGGGAGGAUGUUUGGGAGUGGGUUCUGACAGGGGAUAAUGUUUUCACGGUGAAGUCUUGUUACUCAAGUCUAAUGAGCAUUGGUCGAAGGCGAUCUUCCGAACCAUUUGAGUUUCCUUACAGAGUAGUCUGGAAGCCGAAAGUGCCUAUGAACGUCAAGUUCUUCUUAUGGGGUCUGAUGUGGGAUAAAACUUUGACUAUUGAUAAACUCCAGAGAAGAGGCAUGAUCUUGACAAACAGAUGUGAGCUAUGCAAAUGUGAUGCUGAGUCCACGAAACACCUCUUCAUUACAUGUACAGUUACUAAGGAGAUUUGGCAGGGUUUAAUUUCAGUUUGUGCUAGAGCAUGUGCUGGAUUUCAUACGGUGGAGAAUCCACAACAGUUAUUGAAUUGGUGGCCAGCCUUGAACGCACAUGGUGUUAAAAGUAAGAUCUGGAAUAUCUUGCCGUAUGUAGUGUUGUGGUGUAUAUGGCGUGCAAGAAAUGAAGCAAUAUUUCAGGGAAAUAGCCAUAGUGUGGCUAAGAUUGGGGCUGCAAUUAAGGCAGCUGUGUGGGCCUGGUUAAGCUGUGAUCGAGAUGGCUUAAAGAUGAGAGAAGACAUCAGAUUUGCUGAUCUACUUCGUGGUUGGAGCCAUCUUAUGCAAGAGCAGUGGUGAGGUUGACUAACAGUCCACCUGACGAUAUACAGUCAUCUUGUGCUUAGGUCUUGCGUUUGGUUGGCCUGUGCCAGUGCUAGUUUGAUCUUGAGGAAGGACUUGCAUUUCCUGGACCUGUUGACAGGUUGAGCUUACUUGAUGCAAGAGCAAUGAUGACUCAGGGGGACAACUGAAAGCUUAUGGAGCUCUGAUGUCUGUCUAUUUCCUGGUUGUAGUGUUUGUUUGCUUUAGCAGCCAGGGGGUUAGAGUAAAUAUAUAGAGAUUUACCUGACGAUGUACUGAGUACAUGCUGAUCAGGAAUGUAUGUUAUUCUCUUGGUGUCUGAAUAUAUUUUUACAUUAUCAAAAAAAAACAAACUGAUAUUUGAUCAUUUCCAAUAAUUAUGAAUAUAAAAUUUCAUUUGCUUGGUAGAAUCAAUAAAAUGUAUAAGUGUAUGUAAAUCUAUGAUCAGCUGGGGCAGGCUCUAUUGUUAGAGAUGAGUUUGGUAAUUGUUUGUUUGCACUUUCAUGUCCUAUUCUUCAUGCAACAAAUAAUUAUGCUAAAUUCCUAACAAUGUUUCAAGGUCUUAAGGUGCUUCAGAAGCUUAACUUCACCAAAGUGCAAAUUGAAACUGAUUCUCAAUUGCUUCAUGGGAUAACAAUUAAAAAAAUUGUUGGUGUUCAUUGGGGGUUGCAAGACAUUUUGGAGGAUAUUCUUAAUAUCAUUCAAUCAUUUUUUUCGGAGGUGAAAAUAGUAUGGAACUAGAGGGAAUCCAACUGCUGUGCAGACACAUUAGCUAAAUUGGGAUCACAAAUGGCUGGCAAUGAGACUGGUGUAGACACGGACACACUAGAGUCAACUGGCCUAUGGAGUUAAUAGAAUGUUUUAGUUCGGGNNNNNNNNNNNNNNNNNNNNNNNNNNNNNNNNNNNNNNNNNNNNNNNNNNNNNNNNNNNNNNNNNNNNNNNNNNNNNNNNNNNNNNNNNNNNNNNNNNNNNNNNNNNNNNNNNNNNNNNNNNNNNNNNNNNNNNNNNNNNNNNNNNNNNNNNNNNNNNNNNNNNNNNNNNNNNNNNNNNNGGAUUGUAAAAAUAACAAUAUCUACUAUUUAUACAUAAAUUGUUGAAAUUUUGGGUUCAAGAUAGAAAAAAAAUGAUACACUGAAUUCAAAAUAUUUGUCAGAGAAUUCACCAAUAAAACAUUUAAAACACAAUAAAUAGUUUUAAUGCCUUAUAUACCAAAAUGUGCCUAUGUCCAUGCCCAAAGAAGAAAAAACACACCUGGGAUUGGGAAUGCGAGAUUCUGAAAAAAAGGUAAGAUAUACAUGUUUUAGCUACACCUUCAAGUCAAGUCAAAAGAGAUGAGGAGAGAAAUAUCCUCUUGUUAAUUUUGUCAAACAAGUAAUACCUAGAUCGAGAAACACCAAAAGAAGAUAAUGGUUGAUUUCUUUGUUUGAAAUUAGCAAUAGCUAGAAUGAUAUAUUCUAAUUCAGAUGCAUUCGCCAUUUCAAGCAAACCGAGAAGAACAAUAAACAAGAACAAAAACGAAAUUAACAGUGAAUUUUGAACUUAAAUAAAGGAAAAAAACCCACGUAGAGAUAAAACAAGAGGAAGAACAGACAGAGAAAGGCGUGCGGUCCAUAAUAUUAUGGGAAAUCAUAAUGACACCCGCUAUUUUACAAAGAGCUAUCCAAAAAAUUAAGCUUACCCCAUCCAAAAAUUGCUUCUAAUUAAAAACACCCAAUAUGAUAAGAGUUACCCAAUUUUUUUCUUUUUCUUUCUUUCUUUCUCUUUUAUCUCUUCUCCAUUCUCUCAAUAAAAUUUCUCAACAUUCAAAAUUUGAUCUCAAACAUUUAAGUAAAUUAAAUGUUCAAAUGAAAACCCUAAAAUAUUCAACUUGUUAAUUUCUCUUUUAAUUUUUAGUUCAAAUAACAUUAAGUUAAACUUUAACAAAUUUUUCUUGAAGUUAACAUAAGAAGAAACAACAUGAAUUUCUUCAUAUAAUAGUGGUCUAUCUUCAUCUAUUUUAAAGUAUUUUAUUGUCUCCUACAAUAAAACAAGAGGGUAAUGAUUUGGGUUUUUGUUAAUGAAGUAGACGAAAAGAGAAAGUAGAGAAGCUAGUCAAAGAAAAGAAAAGAAAAGAAAAACCAAAAUUUUAAUUUAAUUAGGUGUGUGACUCUUAGUAAAAAUAGUAUAUAAUUUGGGGGGGAGGGGGGGGCGCUUUUAAUAUGUUGGAUAGCUUUUUGUAAAGAGUCGGGUGUCAAUAUGAUUUUCCUAAUAAUAAUAAUAAUAAUAAAAAAAAAAAAAAAGAGCAUAUGCGUCUGCAUAGUAAAUCGAACCUUGUAGGCCCGCACAAAUCUAANNNNNNNNNNNNNNNNNNNNNNNNNNNNNNNNNNNNNNNNNNNNNNNNNNNNNNNNNNNNNNNNNNNNNNNNNNNNNNNNNNNNNNNNNNNNNNNNNNNNCAACCCAACCCACUCUAAGCCCAUCAUACUGUUUUUUUCAUGGGAGCUAUUAGAGCUUUUUUUUUUUUUUUUUUUUUGGGUGGGUGGGUGGGUGGGGGGGGGGGGGGAGGCCCCGGGGCCGCCCUUAAAUUUUAGGAAGGGGGGAAGUAGGCCCAGGGCCCGCCCUUAAAUUUUAGGAGUCCCAAGGGAUCCCAAAAAAAGGGGGCCAAUUGCCAAUUGCAAAUUUGAAUUAUACAGUACAUUAAAAAAAAAAAAAACUCAUUCCACUAAUCAAAACACUUUAAAAAAAACAAAAACACCUUUGAAAAAAAAAAACAAGAAAGAAAAAUAUCGCUGUUGAAUGAUAACUCUUUUCAGAGUUUUGCGGGCAAAAUCACUAAUUAAGUUCGCAUAGUUAAGAAGUGGCCUUAGGUUUUUAGUCGGAGAAGAGAGAAGUUGAACUGUUCAAACGUGUUAAUUUUUUUUUAUCUGUUCUACCUAUUACAAUAGAUCUAGCAGUUGGGCUUAUCUUUUUUUGGUUUUGAUUUCUGGGCUACAAUGUUGGGCUUUUUAUGGUUGAGGGGAAGAAGAACAAAGUUGAUGUGUGGCCCAAUUUUUAUUUUUUAUUUUUUUGGCCCAAAGCACUGGCUGAACCUGCUUGUGGUGAGGGCCGACCCUGAGUAGGCUACCAUUAUGCUAGCUUUUGGGCACCUCGACAUUCCCAUGGCUAACUUUGUAUUACAAGUUUACAACUUAUUACAUUGUUAACUGAAUGUCUAGGCCAACUUACAUGCACCACAACACUCCAAGGUUAAUUUUGUAUCAGAGUAUUUUUUAUGUAGGGCCUAUUAUUUUUAUAGGGAUCUAAGAGUAAUAAGAUUUGAAUGACACGUGUUAUACAUUGGUGAUAUUUAGUAAAGUAUGACGUAAGACUGGUGAACAGACGAAGCAAACACGUGAGUGUAUAAUAUACGUAUUGGUAUCGUAAAAAGGACAGGUGGCAGGAAAUUUUGAAUCAGGUAACGGAGACGUACGAUGAUGUCAUUCAACCUGCUUUCUUUAUAGUAGUUUAGAUGCCCCACUAAACAAAUCUAAUAAUACCCAAUAUAUCCUAAAUGAUAUUAGUAAAUACACCCCGUAUAAAAUACUCAUUUUCUUUUUCUUCUUCAUCUCUAUUUUUAUCACAUCUCAUGUCUUUCUUUCUUCCUCCUUUAACUUCAUUUAUUUGUAUUUGUUAUUCAUUAACCAUAUUUAAUUGUAAGUUUAACAUCAAAAUGAAUUGGUUUCUUUGGACGAGAUUUUGAAAAAUAACAUUUGUUGGAGCCAUAGAAAACACCAACUUCAAUUUUCGAAAACUUGCAAUACACAUAAAUCUUAAUUAAUCAAAUGAUGUAUGACAAUUCAAUUUUUAUUUUAUUUUUUUUCUAUUAAUUACUUACCAAACAACCAAAAUCAAACAUAUAAGCGAUUUUAAAUGUUCUUAUAAAAAAAUUGAAAUUAUGUUCCAUUAUACAUACGAUAACUUGUAAGUGUUUUAUGAUUCUCUUAAUGUAUUGAUUCUAAGUUUUCAUUGUAUAAACGACUCUAAUUAUAAAUUUAAAAAGUAGUGAAGAGAUAUUUAGUUACAAUUUUAUUUUAAUUUAUAUUAGGAUAUAUAAAUAUAUUUAUCACUAGGGCAUGUUUACCCAAUUAUAAAAUUCAAGUGGGAUAGAUUUACUGUUUAAGGCUUAAUUACCAAACUGUAGAACUUGGAUACCGUCCCUUAAAAAAAAAAAAAAAAUACUCAAUAAACGAAUAUAAAGUCAGCAACCUGAUUGAGGUUGCUGACAAUAAACAAAAGUGCCCAAGCUCAGGAUCAGGGUGCGCACAAAUCUAUUGAGGAAAGGCAGAACCUAGCAAUAACUCAGCAAUCAGAUUGGCCCAGAAAUUAGGACGAUGUGCAGUGUGACAACUGACGGCAUUGCUCAGCUAAAAACAAAGGCCGGACUCUGGUUUCACAUGCUCCCUGAAAUUGAAAUAAAAUACUCUGCCUCCGGUUCUGCCUAAAAUAUGCAAAAUAUUUUUUAUUUAUUUUGAUAACGACAUUUGCGGUUCUUUUUCAUUCUUCAUUUGUGGGGUUUUUUUUUUUUUUUUUGAUAAUGACAUUAGCGGUCUAAACUCUAAAGAACAGAACAUGUUUCAAUUCUCCAACCUUUAACUAAACUCUAAAUUAAGUACCAACGAAAGAAAGUCAUGAAUAUCGGGUACUAAAAUUAUUAUACAAAAUCUAAUGAGUAUGUUUCAAUGAUUCGAAAAUAAUUUUUUUUGUUUUUUUCAAGAAAUACUGAAAUAGCAUUAUUAAAAUUGGGCCAUGCCCACUACUACCUACCGACAAUAAUAUCUCACGAGUCAUGAUCAAUGAGCAAUAAUGCCGGCUGUAAAAACAGUAAUAUUACUGUAUCAUAAAUUAAAGAUAAAUAAAAAUAUAAAAUGAACCAACCAAUAAUAAUACAUUCCAGUGCUAAGUUUUAACUGACCCACCUACAAUCCUACAUAUGCAUAUAGCUCCAUCUUUGCUGAUGCAUCACAUAUUGACACUUUGAAACACAAAACAUGCUUAAAACCAACCUCCAGUUGCCUAAACUCUUUCAUGCUCAGCUCAGUUCCUCUUUUUGCCUCUCAAGCUAAUUCUCAUCAGUCAUCACCCAUUCACCCCAAGUCCCCAACCUUCAUCAUCUAUGGAUAAUUCUAUCAAAGAUGUUGAAGGUGCAAACUGUAACACACCUCUCUUAGAUCAAACAACAAGGAAGAAUAAUUGCAAAUCAUCAUCAAGGGGUGUGUUGUUAAUCUUUGCUGGGGUUGUGUUGGUUUUAUGUAUUUUUAGUAUGGUUUUAAUGGUUAACCAUAACAACCAUACAUCUGAAUCUUCUGUUCAUCAUCAUAUCCAACCAAAGUUGGAAACAGUAGAAUCUCAAGGCGGUGUAUCUGCAGUAAGAGAUGAUUCAGAGAAAGAUGAUGAAUUCAAAUUGUUGUCUUCACAACCAUUUGGUUUCCAUUUCCGGCCUCACAGAUAUUAUAUGAGUGGUGGGUAGUUUUUUUUCUUCUUCUUAUCUUAUUACUACUGUGUCUUCACUUGUAUUCUCCACUCAAGCAUUUCUCUUUGACCUUUAUUUAAAUUAUUAUACUGUUUUUGAUACUGUACAUAUGUUUUACUUUUCUUAAACUGACUCAACUUUUUGUUCAUGUCUUGAUUGCUGUGUUGGUGAUGAUUUCUACUUUUGGUUUCAAUAUCUCAGAUCCUAGUGGUAAGUUCAUUAAUUCCAUGCUUUUAUAUUUUUCUUUCUUUCCUGGUGAAAUAUAAUGUUAAUUAUCUACACCCAGAAUCAUAUCAUUAUGAAAUUGAUCUGAACUUGAGUUGUUUCAUAGUGGUCACCUCUUGUUGGGGAGAGGGGAGAGUAUAUAAUAUCCCUUCUAAACUACUAUGUCAUGGAAGGAUAUUCCUCCACAUAAGAAAUCAGAUGGUCCUAGAACUAGUCCAACAAUAAGUGCUAAGGAGUAUGAUUUUCGACAAAAUAUAAUCAUUUAGACCCUUAGAAAAUUUGACAUAUAGGUAUACAUAAAUAUGAAUUUGGAACAUAUGAUAAAAAUCACUUUCUUCAUGUUCUGCGUCUGGUUGCUUCCCAUUAGAUUCACUUUUCUAUGAUUUUGCAUUGCCAAAUGAACUUAUGAAGCUUAAAGGAAUAUAACCCAAAAUAUGAUAAAACUAUUUUAACCCACUAUUUAAAAGCUACGGUAUGUCUUAAUUAAUUGUAUAUAUGGAAUUGAUGCAGGUCCUAUGUUUUACAAGGGUUGGUAUCACUUCUUCUUCCAACAUAACGUCAAUGCGGCAGUAUGGGGCCACAUUGUAUGGGGUCAUGCAGUAUCACGAGACCUGAUAAAUUGGCUUUAUCUUCCACCUGCCAUGGUGCCUGAUAAAUGGUAUGACCUUAGCGGUGUCUGGACGGGAUCAGCAACCAUCCUCCCAAAUGGUUCAAUUGCUAUGCUCUAUACUGGAGGAACGAAAGACAUGGUUCAGACAAUAGCUCUUGCGUACCCUGCCGACCUAUCUGACCCACUACUAAUAAAUUGGGUCAAGUAUUCUGGAAACCCACUCCUUUUCCCACCACCUGGAAUUGGUCCGAUGAUGUUUCGUGAUCCCAGUACCGCAUGGUUAACACCAAAUGGCACCUGGAGAAUGGCAAUUGGAACAAAAUAUAACACAACUGGGAUUUCAUUUGUUUUUGAAACAAAAGACUUCACUAAGUUCACACUUUUGGAUGAAUUGCUACACCAAGUUCAAGGUACUGGAAUAUGGGAAUGUAUCGACCUGUAUCCUGUGUCAUUGACAGAUAUGAAUGGCCUUGACACAUCUGUUAAUGGUCCUCAAGUUAAGCAUAUUCUGAAGGCUAGUCUUGAGGAACAACAAGGUGAUUUUUAUGGUAUUGGAAGCUAUGAUGUCAUAAAGGACAUUUGGACUCCAGAUGAUCCUGAAGUUGAUGUCGGAAUUGAGCUUAGAUAUGACUAUGGAAGACUUUAUGCGUCAAAGUCCUUUUACGAUCAUAAGAAGCAGAGGAGAGUGCUUUGGGGUUUUAGCCGAGAGUGUGAUACUGAAGAGGCCGACAUCAAGAAGGGAUGGUCAUCUCUUCAGGUAGCAUUUCUUACAUUUCUAGCAUUAUUAGAUGAUUCAUCAUUCAUUCCUGCAUUUUAGUAAGCAUUAAUGCUCUAAAAGUUGUUAUACGGGUGGUAUUUUACAGGUUGUUCCAAGGGAGAUCAUAUUCGACAAUAAGACUAAGACCAAUUUGCUUCUAUGGCCUGUGGAAGAGUUAGAGAGCUUGAGAACGAACGGGAAAGAAUUCAACAAGGUGAAGCUUACAGCUGGAUCAAUUGUGCCUCUCGAUGUUGGCACGACCGCGCAGGUUAGUGACUUUUAUUAGAGUUAAAAUUAUGUUUAAAUUUCAGAGAAUUUUCUUAGGCUCACAGUACAUUUUGUAAUUGUGGCAGUUGGAUAUAACUGCCGACUUUGAGAUUGAUAACAAUGCAUUGGAACGAGUCAUGGAUGCUGAUGUUGGUUACAACUGUACAACUAGCAAUGGGGCUUAUGAAAGAAGCGCAUUGGGACCAUUCGGUUUAUUAGUUCUUGCAAAUGAUGGUCUUUCGGAGCAGACAGCUGUUUACUUUUACAUCGCAAAGGGCACAGAUGGCAAUCUGAAGACAUUCUUCUGCAGUGAUCAAUCCAGGCAUGGUUCAUUCCUAUUUAUCAUAAACCCCUUUAUCUGUCAAAUAUUUUCCUACACUUAUCCCUACAGAGCAGAAAAUAUUAGUACAGUUUCCACGUCCAUAGUACAUUUCGUUGAACACGAACUUGGCUGAGAAUUCCACAAGUAUCUUCAAAUUUAAGGCCUGGUAUAUGCAAUUUUGACUAAAACUGUAUUUGUUGCAGAUCUUCAAAGGCCACAGAUGUCAGUGAAAAGGUGAUUUAUGGAACUACAGUCCCAGUGCUUAAAAAUGAAAAGUUCUCUAUGAGAAUAUUGGUAAGUUCACAAUUUGAUUUGAAAGGAGCGAGUAAAGAUGUUUAACAGAACAUCUUAUUUCUCAUUGCUUUAGGCAUCUGGAUACAUGGAUAACUGCUUACAUUAUUAAUAAAAUACUGCUUACAUUCGUAAAAAAAAAAAAAGGAUACAUAGAUAACUCUACAUAGUACAUACACAACAAUAAGAAAAAAGCCCCUAUAGAAGAACAUUUAUACUGAUAUCCAUAAUUCACCAUGUGUUUGCUUAUUUAAGAGAGCGAUAUUCAUUCUGUUUGGAAUAUAUUUUGUCUAGGUUGAUCACUCAAUAGUUGAAGCCUUUGCUCAAGGUGGACGGAGUGCUAUUACAUCUCGAGUAUAUCCAACAGAAGCUGUUGCAGGAGCAGCUCGAGUGUUCCUUUUCAACAAUGCUACUGGAGCAGCUGUUACCGCCACUUCAGUCAAAGUAUGGGAAAUGGAUUCUGCAUCGAUGAAAAUCUACUCUGCUUGACAUGAUUCCCUCAAAUUCAUGUAUUCAGCUUACCAAGGACUUGGCAUCACUUGUCCGUAAUCUCCCUUAUUCCUGUAAUAUUGUUUGCAGAAAUAAUCAACUGUUGUAGAUUUCGUUUAAACGCAGACUUCAAACAAGAUGAGUAAACUAUUACAAUCAAAUAGUGGAAUGAAUUUUUUUCUACAAUGCUCUGUCAUCUUCAGUUUUCCCUUUUGCUGGCAAUCAUCUGUUUUUUACUUCAAAAGCCAGUAACAAUAAGGAGCAAAGUGCACGCUGGGAUGACUGCAGCCAAGAUUAGAGUAUCUAUAGAACUACACUAGCUAUCUGGUCCACAUAAACAAAUAAAAACUACCCAAGCUCAGGAUGUAGGAUCCAUUGACCAUUGAGCUGAAGCAGAGCAGAUCGAAUCUAUUAAAAUUAAAGCGCGCUUAGCCAAUAUAGGUCAUCAACCUGAUUGGCCUCGCGUAAACUAUGGAAAUCAAUAAAAUUCUUAUUUAUCAAAAAAAAAAAUAAAACAAAAUAAAACAACAACUAUGUACAUGUGCCAAGUUGCCAACCCAUCUUUUUCACAUGGCAUCACAGGUGACAUUGUGAAAUGAAAUCACACAGCAAAAAACAAAAUCCAGACUAUUGUUUCCUAUGCACAGGGAAUAUAAAAUGAUUUUUGAGCAUAAAAUUUCCCAUCUCCAAAUCUGCCUGAAAUUUUAAAUACAAAACCAAUGUCGCUUAUUUGAAAACAAUGUUUGCGGUCUUUUUCCUGAUAAUAACAUUUGCGGUCUGUUUUUUCUGAUAAUAACAUUUGCGGUCUUUUGUUUUUGAUAAUAAUGACAUUUGCGGUUUAAAGAAACUGAAUGUCUUCAACUACUUUCCCUACCAAUACACACCAAUCAAAUCACCAUGUAUCAUAUGUUUUGUUCAUUGUUCAAACUUCAAACUAAGGGCUAUUUCUAUUCCCUCUCAAAGAUUGUAAUCACUAUAUUAGCUUGGUAGUAUAAAUUUAUAAAACUAUGAUUAGUGAAAAACUAUCGAAACUGCAAGAUACAGUACAGUGUUUUUAAAUGAUAUCAACAAUCAAGGUUCAUCAGAUGUUCUGUACCAAUAUGGAGCAGCUCAUGGCUAUUCUCAUUUACAAGGCUAAAGUUAACUUUCUUCAAUUUGAUCAAAAAUAUCUAGUAUAGUAUUAGAAGUAUCAGACAAUAUAUUUUGAGAUUCCCAUGUGUUUUAAAUUUAUUCAUUCAAUAAUUAUAAUCGAUGAUUGAUAUAUAAAGAGGAAACGCAUGUGUGGACUAAAUAAUUAAUACUAUCUAGCCAAAAAGCAUAAAUCAAGUUGGCUCUUUCAUUGAAUAUAAUAACAAUACUGUAUACUGAAAAUGGCUUUUGGUGAAUAAUUGGGAACCUAUGUUCCACAUUGUUCUAACUUCUAAUGUAUUGCCAUUCCCAUAAUGAUAGGAAAUAGAGAAAAAAACAAGAAAAAUAAUUAAUGAUCUAGAAUUCAAACUAACUUUUUUUUCUUUUAAAGAAAAAAAAACAAAAACAACAAUAGGAAUUGCGGUCAUCAAUCCAAAUUCGGGAUUGUUUACAAUAUUGGAUCUAAGGGUAAUCCUGCCUCACACAAAUUUAAAAUUAUAGACUCCAUCCAUACUAAGAGUUUUUUUUUUUUACUUAGAGAUAUCCUCUAGUUUAAUAAACUCCAACUAAUUUAAAAAAAAAUUACAAUAAAAGAAUUUUUGAACACAUUCAGAAGGGUUGGAUUUGCUUUCAAAGACAAUUGGUUAUUCAUUGUUGCACACUUAUCCUCCACUUUAGUUUAGGGUUUACGGUAGAAUUAACUGGACCUCUAAACAUCAUUUCUUCUAAUACCAAAAUCUAUAGAGUAUCUUUUAAUGAUUAAAAAAUGAAUUAUAACAUGGAAAAGACCCCUCUAGCUUUUCAUUGAAAUUUAAUUAUGUAAAAUAGCUCAAUUAUUAACCAAAUUGGGACAUACCACCAAACCCCCCACACCACAACCCAUAACCUCAAGAUCAACCACAUACUACUACUAGUCUACUACUCCACAUGCCAAGCUGCAUCACUUUCCAUUUUUUGUAAUAAUUCAUCAAGUCAGGCCGGCUGUACAUAUAGCAACACAAUAUAUAAAAAAACAACAACUCUCUUCUUUGGCUCUUUCUUCUUGCCUGCUAAUCAAACAGCAAUACAAAACCAAUGAACGAACAUCAUCAAUUUAAACCCCACGGUACUUGUAUACAAAUAUACUUUUAGAUCUUGAUGGAGAUCCACCUUGGCUGCUUCUGACGCACAUGUUGAGUUGUUGACACGCAUUGACGUAAGUCAUCACUCAUCACUCACAGAGUCACAGUAAUAUUUUUAGUCGGUGCUAAAUUAAUAAUAACUUACUACAUUAUACAGUAUAUUUUUUUUUAAAAAUACACUAAUAAUAAUAGUAAUAAAAUUUUAAAAAAUAUUAAUCCUACAUAUAAUAAAAAUAUAUUUAUUUUUACUAUAUAAACAUAAUACACAUCUGCAAAUGCAUAUUAUUUCUUAGUCCCAAAGCUGCUGUGCAUUUUUACAGGUUUUACUGUACAUCCAUAUGAUUAUUUUUAAAAAAUAUCAAGUCAAAGUCAAAUAUUGUCUAGUUUUUUUUUUAUAAAAUAAAAUAAAAUAAAAUUCUGUAUGCAUUUAAUAAUAAUACUAAGUAUAUUCAUGAAUGUUGCUUUACUAAAGAAAAUACGAAAAAUAUGGACUAAGCAAGGGAAAAAAAAAAAAUUACUUUAAUUAAUUAAUAUAUUAAAUUUAAUUAAUAAUUUGUCUUUGGGCCCAUAUAUAUUAAUUUAUCGAGGUUGUACUGUAUAUAUAAACACACCUCUUUCACUCCAACUCUACCAUUGUUCCUUGGCUUCUCUUUCUCUGCCUUCCUCCUCUUUGAUUGAAUCCAUCCAUUAUCAUGGAUUCAAUUAAAAAUGUUGAAGGUGCCAACACCAAAAGUUCCUACACUACACCUCUCUUAGAUCAAACUAACUCAACAAAGAAGAAUAAUUGGAAACCCUUAAAGGGUUUAUUAAUAUUUUCUGGGGUACUUUUGGUUUUAUGUAUUAGUGUGGCUUUCGUUAUUAACUAUAACUAUAACUAUAACUAUAGAUCUGAGGAUCAUGUUGAUGAACAAAACCCUAAGUUGGAAACAGAGGAAUUUAUACCACAAGUUGUAGUAGUUCCUGAAGAAGAUGAUGCAGAGAAAGAAAAUAGAUUGUUUAAUGAUCCUGGAGCUUUACAUCCAUCAUCAUAUGAAUGGACUAAUGCUAUGUUAUCUUCACAAAAAUCUGGUUUCCAUUUUCGUCCUUACAGAAAUUGGCAAAGUGGUUAGUAUUAUUGUGCAUUAUUCUUAUUCUUCUUAUUAUGAAUCAGAAUGAGUUUUUGAAUGAAUGUGCUAGUUCUUUGAUACUGUAUAUUUGUUUUUAUUUUUCUUAUACAGUUAUACUGACUUGACUUGUUUUCUUGUCUUGAUUGCUCUGUUGGUGAUGAUUUUUUCUGGUUUCUGUCAUGAUCUCAGAUCCUAGUGGUAAGUUCAUCUUCCUUCCUUGCUUUCUUCUAUUCUUUAUUUUCUAGUGAAAUCUAAUGUAAUUCUGCAACCUGGAGCAUCAUACUGUAUUACUGUCAAAAAAUUCCAAAAUAACCACUAAGAGAUAUUUUAGCAAAACAAAUAGAGGUCCCACCAUCAUGUUAUUUUCUCAGUGGACAACUAGUUGAAACACAAUAUUAGAAACUCCGUCAACUAGAAAUGAUUGUGAUUUGAAUUUUGAAAUAUUGGAGUCCACUUGUUGCAGGUCCUAUGUUCUACAAGGGAUGGUACCAUUUCUUCUACCAACAUAACCCCGAAGCGGCAGUAUGGGGAAAUAUAGUAUGGGGUCAUGCAGUAUCGCGAAACCUGAUAAACUGGUUUUAUCUUCCACAUGCAUUGGUACCUGAGCAUUGGUAUGAUAUUGGCGGUUGUUUUACAGGGGCUGCAACCAUGCUCCAAGAUGGUUCAAUUGUUAUGCUCUAUACUGGAGCCACCAAAGACAAAGUUCAGAUAAUAAAUCAAGCCUACCCUGCCGACCUAUCUGAUCCCUUACUUAUAAAUUGGGUCAAAUUCUCUGGAAAUCCAAUCCUAGUCCAACCACCUGGAAUUGGUCUGACAGAGUUUCGUGAUCCCAGUACUGCGUGGUCAACACCUACUGGAACCUGGAGAUUCACAAUUGGAACAAAACGUAACACAACUGGGAUUUCUCUUAUGUAUGAGACAGAAAACUUCAUGAACUACACACUUUUGGAUGAAGUGCUUCAUGGAGUUCCUCAUACUGGAAUGUGGGAGUGUGUCGACUUAUAUCCUGUGUCACUGACAGGUAUGAAUGGCCUUGACACAUCUGUUAAUGGCCC
This 20180-nucleotide long non-coding RNA is filed under the name Aquilegia coerulea. RNAcentral describes it as "long non-coding RNA (ACOE_LNC001658)". The record is from RNAcentral. Lineage: Eukaryota; Viridiplantae; Streptophyta; Magnoliopsida; Ranunculales; Ranunculaceae.